GGGCCGAGGGGAGAGGCGCCUGGCAGAUGGGGGGGGGGGGGGGGGGCGGGGGCGAGAUCUCAGCCAAGCGCAGGGAACGGACCGUCCCGGGCUGGGAAAGGGAGAGGCUGCGAGCCACAGGUGGGCAAUCCCGCCAAACUCGCGCUCCUGCUGCGAGGGGCUUCUCGGUCCCUAGCUCCCCUCGGUCUCGGGGACCCCGGUGCAGGCAAGGAACGGAUCGCCCCAAAGAGGAGCCCGGGUUCGGGCGGCUGCUGCUCAGGGCAGGCACGGAACCGGUGGCGCUCCCCGGCUAGCAGAAGCGGCGCGCGGGACCGGCUCCUGUCCAGGCGCCCGAGCGGCACCGACGGCGACUGUCCAGGCGGGCGGGCAGCGGAGGCUGCUUUGGAGACUAGGGUCUCACAGGGGCUGGACUGUGUCCACACAGCCACGGCAGCAUCACGCCCCCCCUCCGAUCCCCGCCGGCUUCCCGGUGCCUCCCGCCUGAGGGGCUGCAGUCCGCGGAGCCUGCCAGCCCGCCUCCCCGCCUCGCCCGCCGCCCGCUGCGCCCGAUCUACUCACUGACCAGGAGCCGCUGCCCCCGUCAGGGGGGAUCCCGAUCGCUGUCAACGUUCUCCCGCCUCCUGGAGUCACACCAAGCGCCCCUGCCCCCAACUCUGCGGGUCCCAGGCGGGAGGCCGGCACUGGCCUCGGCCCGGCUCUUCCCCGGCCGCCAGCCCCUCCCCCUGCCGGCCUCAGGCCCUCCACUCCGGGCCAGCCAGUGCUCGCGCUCCUCGCCCCUCUUUAAAGUGGUGGCUCAGCCUUCGCCCCGCUUCAGUGUAGCCCGAGAUCACAGGGACCGAGGGAACAGAGAAGAAACACAAAGUCUUCUCCAUCCCCCUCAAGAAUCUUGGAUCUAAUUGCUUUGGGAGCUCCCUUCAAUAAUAAGGACCCCAACUGAUGAAUGGUUUCUCACCCUCUUCACUCUUCUCCAUGUUCUCCCCUGGGUGGCCCUCUCAAGUCCUGCCAGUCUCCUUCCUAAAGUCUUCUUGAAAAUCAGAGUUCAAAGUAAAUAGAGGGUGAAGGGACCUAACAGAUGGUAAAACUUCAGGCUAAAGAGAUCCCAUGCCUCAUCCAGGGACCCACAAGUCCUAAGCAAGGACUGGCAUCUAACCCCCAGGGCUGCUGAGACUUUAGGUUCACUGACUUUUCCAUUCAAAUAUGGUGCUCAUUUAAGGCUUCUGUUUCCUCUGGAAACUGGAUAAAUUUCUGGAAAAUGAAGGGGUGCAGCUCUGUGAUCACCGAGGACCCCUUGGAGCUCUCUAAAGCCCCUGGCUUUAUGACCAGCAGUUUCCAUACUGGUAUUUGGAGAGUAGGUGAGAAAACAGAAGCCAGAAGAUGUUUGGCAACAGGUCCCUCAUGAGCUGUCACAAAGGGGUUACAGUGAAACAGAGUAACUGAGUAUUGUAGGGGAAUAAAAGGAGGUUUAUGGAUCCAUUUCACGUCAUUCUUCAAUAUUAGAAGAAUAUUGAUCCACUGUAUCCUGAAAUGAAGCAAUGUGUUCUUCUCCAUUCAUAUCCACAACAUCCACACAAACUAAAUUCUUUUCUCAUCUACGCUACUCAGAACAUUUCCAGGGUCAUUCCUUCCUGUGACAUCUAUUUUCUCAGUCCCUCAAAAGGGUCCCUCAAAUAUUGCUAGAGCUCAUUUUGCCUGUAACUUUUCUCCUUAAUCCAUUAUCUGGACUAAUCUAUAUGCUUGUCCCAAUUGCUUUCUCCUUCCUCACAUAUCCUUGAGGGCAGAGACUGCUAUUGUUUUAUUUUCUGGGGGAUGGAUCUCUGAAAGUAGAUUAAAAGUCAUGGUAGAUUGGGUCAUGCCCAAUGGCAGGGAGAGUUAUGUGCCUAUCAAUGAUUGUACAAAGGCAGGAUGUGAGCCCCUCUGUCGACUGGGGCAUGUUACAUGUCGCCUUGUCCAUAGUAAAUAUCUAAUAUGUGUUUGCAUUAAAGAUUUCUCAAUUCUAAAGACUAAAACAAGGAACUUCCGUGACUAAUCUCCUUAGAACACUAAGAUUACAAAAGGAAAAAUCCUUCCUGGAUGUUGAUCAUCUUCCAAUAUUACAUGCCAUCAAAGUCUCAGUAAUGUUUGGAUUUCUUAAUUUAGGGCAGUUGAGAUGCAAGUGAAUUCCUCAGAAAACUCUUUGAACUUCUGAAGGAUUUCCCUGAUCACAACAUAGUAAGUCAACCAUGUAAAACAGAGCUUCAGCUGCCCCAUUAUCAGAAUUAUUUUUUUCUUCCACAACAUUCUUCAUAAUGUGAUAAAAGUGUGAAAAUACUCAUUUUCAGAAAAAGAACUGAGAAAAAAAGGUGGGAGGAAGGAAACCUCAGUCUUACUGAGUACAACUUUUGUUUUGAAAAAAAAACAAAACAAAACAACAACUGGGUAUUGUUAAGAGUAUUUUGGACUUGUGUCCAAAUGUACUUUUUGUAUUUACUAGCUUUUGGAGUACAGGCAGGUCACUUCAACCCUCUCUCAAUCUCAGAGGUGUUCAUCUGUAAGAUGAAAAUGGUGAAACCUGUAGAUCACCCUGAUCUACACCCCUGAAUAAGAGAACUGAUACAAGGAUAGAAAUAUCAGUUAUUUUUAUGUAGAACUUGCUUUGUUUGUUCUAGCUCAUUUUCUGUACUAUUGCUCCCAAUAGCCCUAACUAGCCUCUUUAACUUUUCAGUUCAAUCAUUUUCAUAGAUCUCUGCAAACCUUUUCUACUGUUUAUCAAACACUAGGAUUACAAAGAUAAACACAAUAUUGUCCUUGUAGUCAGCUGUUCACUUUUAUGAUGUCAGUCAAAAAUCAAUAAGCACUUAUUAAGCAAGAGAGAGAGAGAGAGACAGAGAGAGAAAGAGACAGAGAGGCAGAAAGACACAGAGACAGAGACAUAAUGGGAGAGAAUGAGAGAGACAAAGGCACCGAGACAAAGAGAAAGGAAGAGAGAACAUAUGGUCAUAUAAAUAUAUUCAAAGAAAAGACAGAUUUUGGGAUAAUCAGAAAAAAGCCUCAUGUAGAAGAUGAAAAUUUGAGAUGAUCUUGGAAGGAAGUGAGGGAAAUCAAGGAGUCUGGAGUGGGAGGAAGCAUUCAAUACAGACAGUCCAUCAAAGUUGGUGAUGGAUUGUGAAAAUGCUUUGACUAAGGUAUUAUUGAUUGCCUGUGCCAACUUCCUUUGUGCAUUUCUUUUUGCGUUCCUCAUCCAUGAGCUGUUGACCUACACAUUGAUGAGGGUUUUUUUUCUUUAAUAAGAAAAAAAAUAUUCCAGUCACAGUGAUAUGUCUUUAAAAAAAUGAUGACCAUGGGAAAUUCAUAAAUGUUGAAAAAGGCUGACUUGUUAGCACAAACCUAAUUUUAAAAUCUCUUUAAUGCUACUGAGCCCUUAGCUUUCCUUUACCAGUAAUUUAGGAAGUUUUCCCACUUGCAGAAACCUAGAGGUUUAUAAAGAAUGUUAAGAUCAUAAGCCCUUUAUAUAGGUUAUAGAGAUUCAUGUUCCUUAAAUAAUAAAAAAAGUCCAAUGUCUUUUUAGACAAGUAAUCUUUCAAAGUUUAUAUAUGACAAUAUAAAGUAUUUACACAACCACAUAUGACACAUAUGAUACUUGAUACAUUCAUUUAUUUAAUAAAUUUAUUUAGCUAAAGUACAUCUGUAAUUCCACAAACAGAGCUUGGUGCAGGGGGAAAAAGUUCACCUUUUUAAUUAAUUUAAAAUGUCAACUUCUCACCUCGUAGCUCUUUCUACUUGGAAAAGUCACAACUUCUCUGAGUUUUAUUAUCUUCACUUUUACCUUCAUUUUCAUCGAUUAAAUGAGGGGAUAGCACUGAGUAGCUUAUAAAGUCCCAUCCAGCUUUCCAUCUAUGAUUGUAUGAAGUGCCAACUGGGUCCUAGAAGUUGAAAAAGAAAGGAAGAAAUGCAAUAGUCCCUGUGCCCCCUCCCCAGCUUACAAUUCACUGGAGACAUUCCAAUCUCUUUGCAUAUAUGAUCUGUUAUAUAUUGUUAUAUAUAUACAUACAUAUAUACAUAUUAUCUGCUCUAUAUUGCUAUAUAAAUUAUAUUGUUAUAUAUAAUAUAUAUUAAGUAGAACAAAUGAAGGAGAAAUUUUAGAGAAAAGGUUUCUCCAAAGAUUCUGUUCAUCUGUUAAAGCCUGCGCAAUGGGAAAAGAGUCAAUUUUAAAUGAGGUUUCAUUGCUUAGAAUGCUUUGUUAUAUAGAGUUGGAUCAUAGCUAAACAUCUACCCACCCAUGACUAUAUUCUCCUGCUCAGGAAAUCCUGAGAAAGUGAAACAUCCUUUUGUUUUAUCCUUCAUGUCCAUAUGUGUGGUCCAAGUUUAUGUUCUGUGUGCCAGGCUGGAUCAUGGAGGGAUAUUCGGGUGCAGAUACAUAGUUCAAGAUGGGCAGUGUUCCAAAAAAGGAGAUAAUUCGGAGGCAAAAUAUGGCUGUGGGAAAAAGCCCAGGGUUCAGGAGCAGUGAGGACACUGUAUGACUAGAGAAGAAGGGAUAUACUGGCAAAUAGUCAGAGAUAUAAGAGGACAUCCAUCAGUAUCACCCUUUGAGAUCCAAGAUGACAGUAUUGGACUUGACAAGAUUAGAGUUGGACUUUUAGCUUCUAUUAGGGCAGAAAGAUGACAAAUGAAGUGUCUCAUUUUAGCAGAAAAAUGGGCAGGACUUGGUGUCCCAUUGGAGAUAAGCAAUGAAGGAGCCAUAAUCAAAAAUAACUGUGUAGGUUUUGCCUGAAGAUGAAUACUAUGAUUUUUCAGAAAUCAGAGGGGAAAUCAGUAUAGAUUUAUAUUUAGGGGAAAAUGGUAGCAUCAUAAAGAAAGCAUCCUUGGACUCUUCUUCCAAAUUUCUUUUAAGAGGAUCUUAUAUAUUCAACAGUCUGGCAGAGACUAAGUAUCUAAUUGAAAGCAGACUUGAGGAGAGCCCAGUCUUAGCUAGAUGUAUGGUCAGCACAAAGUGGCUGCUUUUCCUCCCUCCCUCCCUUUCUUUCUCCCUCCCUCCCUCUUUUUUUCCCUCCCUCCCUUCCUUCUCUUCCUCCCUCCCUCCCUCCCUCCUUCCCUCCCUCCCUCCCUCCCUCCCUCCCUUCCUCCUUCCUUCCUUCCUUCCUUCCUUCCUUCCUUCCUUCCUUCCUCCCUUCCUUCCUUCCUUCCUUCCUUCCUUCCUUUCUUCCUUCCCUCCUUCCUUCCUUCCUUCUUUUCCAUCCUUCUCUCUCUCUCUCUCUCUCUCUCUCUCUCUCUCUCUCUCUCUCUCCCUCCCUCCCUCCCUUCCUUUCUUUGUCUGUUUCUUUUUAAGAAGUUGAGUUUAGAAUAAAUUGCUACCAUUAAUAAGAUCACAGAAUCAUAUCUUUGAGUUGGAAGAGACCUCAGGUCAACCCCUAUGAAUUAAUUUCUUUAUAUGAGUCCCAGAAAAAUGAACUAUAUUUUUAAUGUAAAAUAUUUUAAUUAUAUUUUAUUUUUUUUCAAAAACAUGCAAAGAUAAUUUUCAACACAAGGUAAUAUCUUAUCCAAAAUUCCAGCAAUGAUGGGAAGAGUUGAAAUCCUCCAGCCUCUGUUUCUGAAUCUGAGAUGAUACUGGUAUCUAAGCUCUACAUCAAAAGAAGUUAAACAAUCUAAGAGGAAAAUGGGGAGGGAGUCAAUUCCAGGCACAUGGAGAGGUUGUGAAAAGAUACAGACAAAAAGAUAUUUUUAAUUCAAAAUCAAAAUUGUUAGCGAUAUAUUUUAAAUUACCAGGUUCAUUCAAUUAGCAAGAAAUCUAUCUUUUUCCACUCAGCCUAUGGAAGAAAUGCUCAUUUUAUGUAAUUAUUUGAUGCUAAAUUAAAUCCAUAAAGCCCAGAGAUAUAGAACUUUUAAAAAUGGAAAAUUCCCAUUCUUGGUCAAGAUACAAACUAUGAAUGACUUUCUUGUAUAUCCCAACUUUGUUCUUCAACUACACAUAGAAUCAUUAAAUUCCAUUUUUAUGUGGGAAGAGAAAUUAUGAUUAAUAUGAAUAAUUAAAAACAUUUAAAUUAUAUUUGGUUCAGGGAUAUAAUCAAUCAGUGUGGUUUUAUUAAGUACUCAUCAUUUUCCAGACAUUUUGUUGAUAAUGGAGAUUCAAAGGGGAAAAAAAAAAAAGACAGUCCUUGUCCUUAAGGAGUUUACAUUGUAAUGGGCAUGUAGAGUUUUAGGCUUGAAGUCAGAAAGUCAAUGCCAGUUCAUACACCUAUUACAUGUGUGACCUUGAACAAGCCACUUAACUUCUGCUUACCUCAAUCUCUUCAUCUGUAAAUUGGGAAUAAUAAUAGCAACCAUCUCAUAAAAUUGUUAUAAGGACUAAAUACUUAAAACACUCUAUAAAUAUAUUAUUAUUGUUAUUAUUAUCCUAUGAAUACAUACAUAUGUAUUUCAUUCCAAUUAUGCCUAUUUCUGGAUCCUUCCUGACUUGUUCCUAAUUUUUUUAAGUUGAAGAUCUAGAAACAUAAAUGUCACUUCAGAAGAUGGAUUCAAGAAAAGCCUUUGGACCUGACCUAUUAACCACAAAAGAAACUCUUACUGGAGGCAGCCCAAGUUUAAAAUCAUUUGAAGAUUGGUUCACAAAAUCUCUCAGAGGGCAAGAUAAAUACUUGCUAAACUGAAUCAAAUUCCAAAAGAUUAGAAAAGGUCACAAUGUGGGGAGAGGGCUAGGGAGUUUACAAAAAAUUUAGACCCAGAAAACCAUCCAUUGACAUAUAUGCUUUUCUUAGAACAAAUCCACUUAUUCAUAUAUAAUCAGGGAAUGAUGAAUCAACCAUCCCAAAUUGCUUCUUAAAACAAAAUCCAUCUUUUAAUUACAAUAUUCUCCUGGCGUUGUUGUAUUUUUGUGCAUCAUGGGCUCUUGAAGUUUCUUUAGGACUGAAUGGUUUGAAUGGGUAUUGGGGUGUGUGUCGGGGGGAGAGGUGAUAGUUGUUGGAGCAGGCUACAACACAUUACCAUGGAGUAAUGGAAUUGUGGCAAGGCAACUAAAAAGCCAAUAGGUUUUUGAGUGGGUAUAAGAUAUAACCAAUGGAGCCCUUAUGUGUUUUGUUAUUGCCCUUUUGAUGUCAAGAAAAAUGCAAGUGAGAGAUAAUUUUAGGUAGAUCUCCUUUGGUGAAUUUUUGGUAAGAACAAGGAAUUGAAAAAAAAUGCAGGAAGACAGGAAUAUAUGGCUUGUCAUCUGUAUUGUUGAUGGAAAUGUCCACAGGAGGCAGCAGGAUUCUAUGAGAACAGUGACUUUGUGGUUAAAGGGCCUACCUUAAAAAAAACUAACUCUGCCAAUGAUUGUAAUUACGUCUUCACCUCAGUUUCCUUAACUGAAAAAUAUUUAGGUUGAAUUAGAUAAUCUCUGAAGGCAACUCUAACUCUAAAAUCUCUGAUUCCAUGAAAUCCCAUAUCUCUUAGAGCAUUUGAUUAUGGCUUCAAUCAAGCUAAUUAGCUUUAAUUCUUUUUCAGGCAAUACGGAC
This 7463-nucleotide long non-coding RNA is filed under the name Sarcophilus harrisii (Tasmanian devil). RNAcentral's name for it is "lncRNA (ENSSHAG00000028838.1)". The record is from RNAcentral. Lineage: Eukaryota; Metazoa; Chordata; Mammalia; Dasyuromorphia; Dasyuridae.